GUCAUGAAAGUUAAAGCAAGCAUCUGCAGCAAGAAACUUGUGUAUUUCCUGCGGACAGGGAGACCUCCUGCCCCUCCCGGGCUGAUACAACCCACUUUGCACAUCCUGCUUCUCUGGGAGCUAAAAAUAAAUCGAGGCACUGAAGGACGGACAGAGGAAGUGACAGGGGAGCUGCACCCGGGAAAGGCUGCAAGGAGCAGGUCCCUAGAAGCGCGCGCUCCUCGCGCCCACCCUGAGCCCGCCGCGCCCGAAGCGCGCGGGUCCCCCCAGCAGCCGCUCCCGGCGCCGCCGCCCCCAGCACGCCCGCCCCGGCUGCCGCUCCGACUCCGCUCCGGCUCCGGAAAAGCGGAGGGAAGGCGCUGCGACUCACCGCCUCGGCCGCUCCCGGCGUCUGUGUCGCCGCGGGUGAGGCGGCGGCAGUGGCGGCAGCGGCGGCAGUGGCGGCAGCGGCGCUUCCCUCCGCCCGCCUCCCCCUGGACCGCACCGCGCCCGCCGCGCCCCCCGCCCCAGCCUCGCUCGCCGCCUCCCUCCUCCGGCCGCCGACCCUCCUCCCCACUGCGGCCCCGCGGGCAGCCUCUCCCUGGUGGGCUGGACCGCCGGGGUGCAGGGGGGCCAAACUGAGAGCCUUCUGUGGAUCGUCUAGGGAUGGCUUAACAAAACACUCCGUCGGAGGACAUCUGACGAGGGCGUACAUACACCCUCCCCCUACUGCAAGAUGUCACCAAAUUCUCCAUCUCAAGUGAAGAUGAGGAGGAAAAAAUGCCUUGUCAAUUUAUUCACCAAGUAUUUAUCGAGUGGCUGCCAGCACAUGUUCCUGUCUUGCUGUAUUGGCCACUCAUGACCUUUCAAAAAGCCACCAUAACUUCUUGUGCUUGUCAAACCCAGCGGCAUUUCCAGAACCCACGGAAGGUCUCAAUAGCAACUCAAAUUCAUUGAUUAAAAAACUUGCUGGUUCAAAAUAAUUUUUAAAAGGGGAUCGACCAGUGGCACAGCGGUUAAGUUUGCACCUUCCGCUUGAUUCGGGGGGUUCACCGGUUUGGAUGGAGGGUGCAGACCUACACACCGCUUGGUAAGCCAUGCUGUGGCAGGUGUCCCACAUAUAAAGUAGAGGAAGAUGGGCAUGCAUGUUAGCUCAGGGCCAGUCUUCCUCAAAAAAAGAAUUACUAAUAGUAAUAAUAAAAUGGCACCAUGUAAAGCUAUAAAGCCACCAUGACCUGUCUGUGCUUGAUAAAAUGAUUACAAAAUGUUUUAAUAGACUAAUUAUAGAAAUGAUAGUUACAUUUAGGUCCAAACAGCCACCAACUCUAAUUUGAAAAUCAAGUAAAAGGUUCACCUAACCAAAACCAUCCUCCUAGUUCUGCCUUCAAUUUCCACAUCAAUUACUCCUUCCGGAAAAGCUUGAAAGACUAAAGUUAUGUGGGAGGCCGUUAAACCGUGUUUAGAUGCUAAAACUUCCUCUUGAAUUGGAUUAGCAGAUUAUCACAGUGGUUUGCCUUCCUGGAUACAGUUUGGAAUCACCGAGGGAACUGAGAUUUUGUUUCGUU
RNAcentral lists this long non-coding RNA (1544 nucleotides) under Equus caballus (horse). Its description in RNAcentral is "lncRNA (ENSECAG00000044593.1)". The record is from RNAcentral. Lineage: Eukaryota; Metazoa; Chordata; Mammalia; Perissodactyla; Equidae.